GCGGGUUUAGCUCAGUUGGGGUAAGUUGCAAAACUUGGAAAGCUCCAGCACAUUUGUCUAACAAUCUCUCUAGAGAGCGUCAGACUGAAGAUCUGAAGGUCAUGUGUUCGAUCCACAUAAACCGCA
Molecule: non-coding RNA, 126 nt
Organism: Neonectria punicea
Lineage: Eukaryota; Fungi; Ascomycota; Sordariomycetes; Hypocreales; Nectriaceae
Source: the annotation of a GenBank genome assembly